Molecule: ribosomal RNA, 1312 nt
Filed under: uncultured bacterium
Lineage: Bacteria
Description: bacterial SSU rRNA
Rfam family: Bacterial small subunit ribosomal RNA
Source: RNAcentral
GGCAAACGGGUGAGUAAUGCAUAGGUAAUGUGCCCCUAAAAUUGGAAUAACUUUUUGAAAAGAAAGCUAAUACCGAAUAAUUUCUUAUAUCGCAUGAUAUUUGAAUAAAAGAUUUAUCGUUUAGGGAGCGGCCUAUGUCUGAUUAGCUUGUUGGUAAGGUAAUGGCUUACCAAGGCGACGAUCAGUAGCCGGCCUGAGAGGGUGAACGGCCACACUGGGACUGAGACACGGCCCAGACUCCUACGGGAGGCAGCAGUGGGGAAUAUUGCGCAAUGGGGGCAACCCUGACGCAGCGACGCCGCGUGAGUGAUGACGUCUUUCGGGAUGUAAAACUCUGUCAAGAGGGACGAUUAUGACGGUACCUCUAAAGGAAGCCACGGCAAACUACGUGCCAGCAGCCGCGGUAAUACGUAGGUGGCGAGCGUUAUCCGGAUUUAUUGGGCAUAAAGGGCGUGUAGGUGGUAUUUUAAGUCAAAAGUGAAAUCUUUCAGCUAAACUGACUGCUGCUUUUGAAACUGAAGUACUAGAGAUUAAGAGAGGAAAGCGGAACUCACGGUGGAGCGGUGAAAUGUGUAGAUAUCGUGAGGAACACCAGUUGCGAAGGCGGCUUUCUGGCUUAAUUCUGACACUAAUGCGCGAAAGCGUGGGGAGCGAACGGGAUUAGAUACCCCGGUAGUCCACGCCGUAAACUUUGUUCACUGGGUGUAGGAGGUAUCGACCCCUUCUGUGCCAAAGAUAAUUCGUUAAGUGAACCGCCUGAGUAGUACGACCGCAAGGUUAAAACUCAAAGAAAUUGACGGGGGCCCGCACAAGCAGUGGAUCAUGUGGUUUAAUUCGACGAUACCCGAAGUACCUUACCAGGUCUUGACAUCUACGGAAUACCUUAGAAAUUAGGUAGUGCCCGCAAGGGAGCCGUAAGACAGGUGGUGCAUGGCUGUCGUCAGCUCGUGUCUUGAGAUGUUGGGUUAAGUCCCGCAACGAGCGCAACCCUCGUUUUGUAUUGCCAGCACGUAAUGGUGGGAACUUACAAGAUACAGCCUGUGUUAAGCAGGAGGAAGGUGGGGAUCACGUCAAGUCAUCAUGCCCCUUACGACCUGGGCUACGCACAUGAUACAAUGGCCGGUAUAAAGGGUCGCUAAACCGCGAGGUCAUGCUAAUCUCAAAAAACCGGUCUCAGUUCGGAUUGCAGUCUGCAACUCGACUGCAUGAAGUUGGAAUUGCUAGUAAACGCAGAUCAGCUAUGCUGCGUUGAAUACGUUCCCGGGCCUUGUACACACCGCCCGUCACACCAUGAGAGUUAGGAGUACCCGAA